Molecule: ribosomal RNA, 432 nt
Filed under: uncultured Burkholderiaceae bacterium
Lineage: Bacteria; Pseudomonadati; Pseudomonadota; Betaproteobacteria; Burkholderiales; Burkholderiaceae
Description: bacterial SSU rRNA
Rfam family: Bacterial small subunit ribosomal RNA
Source: RNAcentral
UAACUCUUAAUACGGGAAGUUAAUGACGGUACCGGAAGAAUAAGCCCCGGCUAAUUUCGUGCCAGCAGCCGCGGUAAUACGUAGGGCGCGAGCGUUUAUCGGAAUUACUGGGCGUAAAGCGUGCGCAGGCGGUUCUUUAAGUCAGAUGUGAAAUCCCCGGGCUCAACCUGGGAACUGCAUUUGANACUGGCGGUCUAGAGUACGGCAGAGGGGGGUAGAAUUCCGCGUGUAGCAGUGAAAUGCGUAGAUAUGGGAGGAACACCGGUGGCGAAGGCAGCUCCCUGGCCCAAUACUGACGCUCACGCACGAAAGCGUGGGGAGCACACAGGAUUAGAUACCCUGGUAGUCCACGCCAUAAACGAUGUCAACUAGGUUGUUGGGUAAUCAGCUCCUCAGUGACGCAGCUAACGCGUGAAGUUGACCGCCUGGGGA